Molecule: ribosomal RNA, 345 nt
Filed under: Vibrio parahaemolyticus
Lineage: Bacteria; Pseudomonadati; Pseudomonadota; Gammaproteobacteria; Vibrionales; Vibrionaceae
Description: partial 23S ribosomal RNA
Rfam family: Bacterial large subunit ribosomal RNA
Source: RNAcentral
GGUUAAGUGACUAAGCGUACACGGUGGAUGCCUUGGCAGUCAGAGGCGAUGAAGGACGUAUUAACUUGCGAUAAGCCCAGAUUAGGCAGUAAAAGCCACUUGAGUCUGGGAUUUCCGAAUGGGGAAACCCACUUACAUAAGUAAGUAUCAUUAACUGAAUACAUAGGUUAAUGAAGCGAACCGGGGGAACUGAAACAUCUAAGUACCCCGAGGAAAAGAAAUCAACCGAGAUUCCGAAAGUAGCGGCGAGCGAAAUUGGACUAGCCCUUAAGCUUUAUAUGCGUUAGACGAACGGUCUGGAAAGUCCGGCGAUACAGGGUGAUAGCCCCGUAGUUGACAACGCAC